This 87-nucleotide transfer RNA is filed under the name Vitreoscilla sp. Its description in RNAcentral is "tRNA-Leu". It matches the Rfam family "tRNA". Rfam says of the family: Transfer RNA (tRNA) molecules are approximately 80 nucleotides in length. Their secondary structure includes four short double-helical elements and three loops (D, anti-codon, and T loops). Lineage: Bacteria; Pseudomonadati; Pseudomonadota; Betaproteobacteria; Neisseriales; Neisseriaceae. RNAcentral also lists the same sequence under 1 other name. The record is from RNAcentral.
GCCCAGGUGGCGGAAUUGGUAGACGCGCAUGGUUCAGGUCCAUGUGCCAGUAAUGGUGUGGAAGUUCGAGUCUUCUCCUGGGCACCA